GAUGAAGAACGUAGCGAAAUGCGAUAAGUAAUGUGAAUUGCAGAAUUCCGUGAAUCAUCGAAUCUUUGAACGCACAUUGCGCCCUUUGGUAUUCCUUAGGGCAUGCCUGUUCGAGCGUCAUUUAAACCUUCAAGCUAAGCUUGGUGUUGGGUGACUGUCCGCUUCACGGCGGACUCGCCUCAAAAUUAUUGGCGGCCGGUACAUUGGCUUCGAGCGCAGCAGAAACGCGAACUCGGGCCCGUCGUAUUGGCUCCCAGAAGCUAUCUUCACAAUUUUGACCUCGGAUCAGGUAGGGAUACCCGCUGAACUUAAGCAUAUCAAUAAGCGGAGGA
This 332-nucleotide unclassified non-coding RNA is filed under the name soil metagenome. RNAcentral describes it as "partial contains 5.8S ribosomal RNA, internal transcribed spacer 2, and large subunit ribosomal RNA". The stretch from base 1 to 120 matches the Rfam family "5.8S ribosomal RNA", at positions 35 to 154 of the family's 154-position model. The record is from RNAcentral.